This 84-nucleotide transfer RNA is filed under the name Cutaneotrichosporon oleaginosum. Its description in RNAcentral is "Trichosporon oleaginosus tRNA". It matches the Rfam family "tRNA". From Rfam's summary of the family: Transfer RNA (tRNA) molecules are approximately 80 nucleotides in length. The record is from Rfam by way of RNAcentral. Lineage: Eukaryota; Fungi; Basidiomycota; Tremellomycetes; Trichosporonales; Trichosporonaceae.
UGCCCUAUGGCUCAGUUGGUUAGCGCGUGGAGCUGUUAUAUCCGAGCAACUCCGAGGUCCACGGUUCGAGUCCGUGUGGGGCAG